Molecule: non-coding RNA, 368 nt
Organism: Jatropha curcas
Lineage: Eukaryota; Viridiplantae; Streptophyta; Magnoliopsida; Malpighiales; Euphorbiaceae
Source: RefSeq, a predicted model, not a curated record
UACCAGGGCGCCGUAGCAGAAACAGGAAACGACAUUGUUUUCGAUGGCGAUGGCAGCAAGGGCAAUGGUGCUAACAUGUCCGGCGAACAGUAGAGUGACGGCGCCGGUGGAAAACUGGCAUACGGAGGUGAAGAUGGCAGGGCCUGCCAGGAACCAGAGCUUCUUGGACUCCCUGUAGAAUUCUCUAAAGAAAUCGCGGGCACCGUUAAUUGGAGAAAUGUCAUCAGCGCCGGCGUCAAAGGUAGCGGCAGAAGAAGUGUUGGGCGUUGAUGUAGGAAGUAACAGCGAUUGGUUUUGGUCUUCUCUUGGGGAGAGAAGUGGGUGGCUUGACUCUUCCAUAUUAUAUGGACUGCAAGAGACAGAUAUGG